UACGGAGGGGGCUAGCGUUGUUCGGAAUUACUGGGCGUAAAGCGCACGUAGGCGGCUUUGCAAGUUAGAGGUGAAAGCCCGGGGCUCAACUCCGGAAUUGCCUUUAAAACUGCAUCGCUAGAAUUGUGGAGAGGUAAGUGGAAUUCCGAGUGUAGAGGUGAAAUUCGUAGAUAUUGGGAAGAACACCGGUGGCGAAGGCGGCGACCUGGUCCGAUACUGACGCUGAGGCGCGAAAGCGUGGGGAGCAAACAGG
This 253-nucleotide ribosomal RNA is filed under the name uncultured bacterium. Its description in RNAcentral is "partial 16S ribosomal RNA". It matches the Rfam family "Bacterial small subunit ribosomal RNA", at positions 524 to 776 of the family's 1533-position model. The record is from RNAcentral.